RNAcentral lists this ribosomal RNA (547 nucleotides) under uncultured bacterium. RNAcentral's name for it is "partial 16S ribosomal RNA". It matches the Rfam family "Bacterial small subunit ribosomal RNA", at positions 355 to 895 of the family's 1533-position model. The record is from RNAcentral.
UGGGGGAUUUUGGACAAUGGGCGAAAGCCUGAUCCAGCAAUGCCGCGUGUGUGAAGAAGGCCUUCGGGUUGUAAAGCACUUUUGUCCGGAAAGAAAUCCUUGGCUCUAAUACAGUCGGGGGAUGACGGUACCGGAAGAAUAAGCACCGGCUAACUACGUGCCAGCAGCCGCGGUAAUACGUAGGGUGCAAGCGUUAAUCGGAAUUACUGGGCGUAAAGCGUGCGCAGGCGGUUUGCUAAGACCGAUGUGAAAUCCCCGGGCUCAACCUGGGAACUGCAUUGGUGACUGGCAGGCUAGAGUAUGGCAGAGGGGGGUAGAAUUCCACGUGUAGCAGUGAAAUGCGUAGAGAUGUGGAGGAAUACCGAUGGCGAAGGCAGCCCCCUGGGCCAAUACUGACGCUCAUGCACGAAAGCGUGGGGAGCAAACAGGAUUAGAUACCCUGGUAGUCCACGCCCUAAACGAUGUCAACUAGUUGUUGGGGAUUCAUUUCCUUAGUAACGUAGCUAACGCGUGAAGUUGACCGCCUGGGGAGUACGGUCGCAAGAUU